Molecule: ribosomal RNA, 242 nt
Filed under: uncultured bacterium
Lineage: Bacteria
Description: partial 16S ribosomal RNA
Rfam family: Bacterial small subunit ribosomal RNA
Source: RNAcentral
CGGCGAGCAGCGAACGGGUGAGUAAAGUCUGGGGAUCUGCCUGAUGAGGGGGAUAACUGCUGGAAACGGUAGCUAAUACCGCAUAAAGUUGAGAAACCAAAGCGUGGGACUUUCGAGCCACGCGCCAUUUGAUGAACCCCAUAUGGGAUUAGCUAGUUGGUAGGGUAAUGGCUUACCAAGGCGACGAUCUCUAGCUGGUCUGAGAGGAUGACCAGCCACACUGGAACUGAGACACGGUCCAG